AUUGAACGCUGGCGGCAUGCUUUACACAUGCGAGUCGAACGGCAGCGCGGGCUUCGGCCUGGCGGCGAGUGGCGAACGGGUGAGUAAUGCAUCGGAACGUGCCCAGUAGUGGGGGAUAGCCCGGCGAAAGCCGGAUUAAUACCGCAUACGACCUGAGGGUGAAAGCGGGGGACCGAAAGGCCUCGCGCUAUUGGAGCGGCCGAUGUCGGAUUAGCUAGUUGGUGGGGUAAAGGCUUACCAAGGCGACGAUCCGUAGCUGGUCUGAGAGGACGACCAGCCACACUGGGACUGAGACACGGCCCAGACUCCUACGGGAGGCAGCAGUGGGGAAUUUUGGACAAUGGGGGCAACCCUGAUCCAGCCAUGCCGCGUGCGGGAAGAUGGCCUUCGGGUUGUAAACCGCUUUUGUUCGGGAAGAAAUCCUCUGGGCUAAUACCCCGGGGGGAUGACGGUACCGGAAGAAUAAGCACCGGCUAACUACGUG
This 484-nucleotide ribosomal RNA is filed under the name uncultured bacterium. Its description in RNAcentral is "partial 16S ribosomal RNA". It matches the Rfam family "Bacterial small subunit ribosomal RNA", at positions 28 to 507 of the family's 1533-position model. The record is from RNAcentral.